AACUACAUACAAGGUGAGAGUGAAGUUGACAUCACAAACAGACAACGUAAAGAAUUUCCCAAGUGGUUCAAAGAUCGCAUGACUCAACUUCGAAACCAGCGAUCACCGGAAGCUACUGAUGAAUUAUGGUCAUUGGCCAACGGUCCUCGUCCGAUAGUCAACAUAUAUUCAGGGUGCUUUUGUAACGGUGUCCGAUUCCAUCAUAAUGGGGCCACGUAUUCAACUGGUGGUACAAAUACUCGUUGAUACAUGGUGGAGUUAUGAGCAUGUGAAAUCUAGUUUCUGGUACAUGGAUAGCUUUUGUUCAGAUGAUCAUGGUAGAGUUGUCUACAAGCAGAAUCCAGUUUUUGGUAUAAGAAUAUUUUUGUCUACAUGAUAGUUGUUUGGAUGAAUAGCAAGAUCAGAUAUUUUGGGAUUUUUAAUUUACAUUUUGAUGUGUUUGGUGAUGAUUAUCACCUUAACAUAUGGUAUGGAUGAAAUAUUGUGAUGUAUGGGUAAUAGGUAUGCUUGACUUUAGACUUAUAGAUGAUAUUUAUAAUGAAUGAUUAUGGAUUCUCCAA
Phoenix dactylifera (date palm) is the source of this 560-nucleotide non-coding RNA. Lineage: Eukaryota; Viridiplantae; Streptophyta; Magnoliopsida; Arecales; Arecaceae. The record is from RefSeq and is a predicted model, not a curated record.